RNAcentral lists this ribosomal RNA (253 nucleotides) under uncultured bacterium. RNAcentral's name for it is "partial 16S ribosomal RNA". It matches the Rfam family "Bacterial small subunit ribosomal RNA", at positions 524 to 776 of the family's 1533-position model. The record is from RNAcentral.
UACGUAGGGGGCAAGCGUUGUCCGGAAUCAUUGGGCGUAAAGAGCGUGUAGGCGGCCCGGUCAGUCCGCCGUGAAAGUCCAGGGCUCAACCCUGGAAUGCCGGUGGAUACUGCCGGGCUGGAGUCCGGAAGAGGCGAGUGGAAUUCCUGGUGUAGCGGUGAAAUGCGCAGAUAUCAGGAGGAACACCAAUGGCGAAGGCAGCUCGCUGGGACGGUACUGACACUGAGACGCGAAAGCGUGGGGAGCAAACAGG